AAAGCAGGCUUCGGAUCCCUGAAAAGAUACUUAUGAGGGCCAAAUGAGAAAAUGAAUAUGAAAGUGCUUUCAGAAUUGAAAGUCGUGUCUUGCCUCCUACUCCUGGUAUGAGGAUGCUGUUGACAUAGCUAUGCAGCUGAUUUGAAGAUACUUCAGUC
Molecule: long non-coding RNA, 158 nt
Organism: Urocitellus parryii (Arctic ground squirrel)
Lineage: Eukaryota; Metazoa; Chordata; Mammalia; Rodentia; Sciuridae
Source: RefSeq, a predicted model, not a curated record